UUUAUUAAACUUUGGGUCAGUCAAGUUCAGUUAAACUUGUUUUUUUUUGGGGGGGCUAAUAUACGACUAGGCAGCGUGCCUAAUGGUUGUUUUUAUUCAUAACCCAAAUUAAAAAACAUUCAGUACAUAAUGUUCAAAAUUAGAACUAGCAACAAUAAGAAAAGCUAUAACCAAUAGAGUCAAUAUGAAACUCUUAACUUGGUUUUAUGCAAUGAGCUAGUAAAGCAUGCUAAAAAUUGAAAAUUUUCAUAGCUAGAAACUGGCUCAAUGUACUCCAUCAUGCUGCCAUAUCUCCUUAUCAUCCUGUGGUCAUUGUAUCCUCCUCGAACUGAUUCCCUAAAGCACGAAAUGGUUGUAUCAUGCAUCAUGUGACAAACAACAACAACAACAACAACAACAACAACAAACCCAGUUUGAUCCCAACAUGCGGGGUCUGGAGAGGGUAGUCUGUACGGAGACCUUACCCCUACCUAAUGCAGGUAGGGUAGUCUGUACGUAUCAUGCAUCAUGUGAAAAUUGCAUAAAUAUACCCUGCAAAAACCUGUAUAGUGGCAGCAGCAGUACGCCUACUCUAGCCAGCUGCUUUCUUCUAGGAAGUAUCCCCAUCCACCUAAUCCUGUGACUGCCAGAUGAUGUACAUUUUGACCAUUUACUGGACUCCUCCCUUCUUGCAUAUUGUUCUUCACAUAUCCGACAUAGAAUCCAUUAGGCAGAUUCAGCAUGUUUGAAUAAACUCGUUUGCUUCCAAUCAUCAUGUCCGACCAUAAGCAUAUUUCGUUUCAUUGUUCUGAUCUCAGGUUUGGACAAAGUGACUUAUCCAGAUUAAGGAUUUUCUUCCCUUGUACUGGUAAUUCACCAAAAUUCUGGAACACUAUAUCACCUACAUGAUCGAAGGCAAGCAUGCAACAAGGGGCAUCAUGGUCCUGUGCACUGUGUCCGAUUUGCUCCUAGUGGAGAAUCAUAUGCUUCAGGAUCUGAAGAUGGAACAAUCAGAAUAUGGCAAACAGGGCCUCUGACAAAUGAUGAUGUUGAUAUGACAACAAACGGAAAAGUGAAGGUUUCUGCAGAGGAGGUUUCACGCAAAAUUGAGGGCUUCCAGAUCUCAGACGAGAGGAAAAUCAAGGAGGAGGAUCUAGCUGAUUAGGUAGGUGGCAUGUUAACCAGUUUAUGAUGUAAUAUUAGUAUCAUCUGUGAGCAAGUUCCAUUUGGAUCUUUGCCCCUUAUUUUUUGGAUCGUUUUCAUAGAAUAGACUUUUGGUCGUUUUUCAAAUUUAGAUUACUGGUAUUUCACUAUUUUUGAACUUGAUGUGCUAUCAUCUUAGCUUGUUUUGGAACAUUGUUGUUUGAUAUCAUCAAGACAGGUCAUGUCGGAUACACCUAUAACAAAGUGCAUGUUUCGCUUA
Non-coding RNA from Nicotiana tabacum (common tobacco), 1402 nucleotides. The record is from RefSeq and is a predicted model, not a curated record. NCBI's taxonomy places the organism in Eukaryota, Viridiplantae, Streptophyta, Magnoliopsida, Solanales, Solanaceae.